This 105-nucleotide ribosomal RNA is filed under the name Erinaceus europaeus (western European hedgehog). The record is from RNAcentral. Lineage: Eukaryota; Metazoa; Chordata; Mammalia; Eulipotyphla; Erinaceidae.
GUCUACAGCCAUACCACCCUGAACACGCCCGAUCUCGUCUGAUCUCGGAAGCUAAGCAGGGUCGGGCCUGGUUAGUACUUGGAUGGGAGAAAUAGGUAGAGGAUU